UACGGAGGGGGCUAGCGUUGUUCGGAAUUACUGGGCGUAAAGCGCACGUAGGCGGCUUUGCAAGUUAGAGGUGAAAGCCCGGGGCUCAACUCCGGAAUUGCCUUUAAAACUGCAUCGCUAGAAUUGUGGAGAGCUAAGUGGAAUUCCGAGUGUAGAGGUGAAAUUCGUAGAUAUUCGGAAGAACACCAGUGGCGAAGGCGACUUACUGGACACAUAUUGACGCUGAGGUGCGAAAGCGUGGGGAGCAAACAGG
RNAcentral lists this ribosomal RNA (253 nucleotides) under uncultured bacterium. RNAcentral describes it as "partial 16S ribosomal RNA". It matches the Rfam family "Bacterial small subunit ribosomal RNA", at positions 524 to 776 of the family's 1533-position model. The record is from RNAcentral.